Molecule: ribosomal RNA, 730 nt
Filed under: uncultured Glomeromycotina
Lineage: Eukaryota; Fungi; Glomeromycota
Description: SSU rRNA
Rfam family: Eukaryotic small subunit ribosomal RNA
Source: RNAcentral
ACGGGGUGUUAGGGCACGACACCGGAGAGGGAGCCUGAGAAACGGCUACCACAUCCAAGGAAGGCAGCAGGCGCGCAAAUUACCCAAUCCCGACAUGGGGAGGUAGUGACAAUAAAUAACAAUACAGGGUUCUUUUGGAUCUUGUAAUUGGAAUGAGUACAAUUUAAAUCUCUUAACGAGGAACAAUUGGAGGGCAAGUCUGGUGCCAGCAGCCGCGGUAAUUCCAGCUCCAAUAGCGUAUAUUAAAGUUGUUGCAGUUAAAAAGCUCGUAGUUGAACUUCGGGAUCAAUUAGUUGGUCAUGCCUUGGUAUGUACUGAUUUUAUUGGUUCUCACCUUCUAAAGAACUAUAAUGUCAUUUAUUUGAUGUUAUAGGGAAUUAGGACUGUUACCUUGAAAAAAUUAGAGUGUUUAAAGCAGGCUCACGCUUGAAUACAUUAGCAUGGAAUAAUGAAAUAGGACGUUCGAUCCUAUUUUGUUGGUUUCUAGGAUUGACGUAAUGAUUAAUAGGGAUAGUUGGGGGCAUUAGUAUUCAAUUGUCAGAGGUGAAAUUCUUGGAUUUAUUGAAGACUAACUACUGCGAAAGCAUUUGCCAAGGAUGUUUUCAUUAAUCAAGAACGAAAGUUAGGGGAUCGAAGACGAUCAGAUACCGUCGUAGUCUUAACCAUAAACUAUGCCGACUAGGGAUCGGAUGAUGUUAAUUUUUUAAUGACUCAUUCGGCGCCUUACGGG